Anolis carolinensis (green anole) is the source of this 2204-nucleotide long non-coding RNA. NCBI's taxonomy places the organism in Eukaryota, Metazoa, Chordata, Lepidosauria, Squamata, Anolidae. The record is from Ensembl.
AUGUGGAAUACCUUUGCUUUCACUAUGCAGACCUUCGUUGCCAAUGUGAUGUCUCUGCUCUUUACUACUUUAUCAAGGUUGGCCAUGGCUCUCUUCCCAAGAAGUAAACAUCUUCUGAUUUCCUGGCUGCAGUCUGCAUCUGCAAUGAUCUUCGUGCCUAGAAAUAUAAAGUCUGUCACUGCCUCCACGUUUUCUCCCUCUAUUUGCCAGUUAUCAAUCAGUCUGGUUGCUAUAAUCUUGGUUUUCUUGAUGUUUAACUUCAACCCAGCUUUUGCACUUUCUUCUUUCACCUUGGUGAUAAGGCUCCUCAGCUCCUCCUCACUUUCAGCCAUCAGAGUGGUAUCAUCUGCAUAUCUAAGGUUGUUAAAAUUUCUGGAAGAAACAUUAACAACCUUAGAUAUGCAGAUGAUACCACUCUGUUGGCUGAAAGUGAGGAGGAGAUGAGGAGGUGAAACAAGAAAGUGCAAAAGCUGGGUUGCAGUUAAACAUCGAGAAAACCAAGAUUAUGGCAACCAGACUGAUUGAUAACUGGAAAAUAGAGGGAGAAAACAUGGAGGCAGUGACAGAAUUUAUAUUUCUAGGUGCGAAGAUCACUGCAGAUGCAUACUGCAGCCAGAAAAUCAGAAGAUGUUUACUUCUUGGGAGGAGAGCAAUGGCUAACCCAAUAAAAUAGUGAAAAGCAGAGACAUCACACUGGCAAUGAAGGUCCACAUAGUCAAAGCAAUAGUAUUCCCUAUAGUAACCUACGGCUGUGAGAGCUGGACCAUAAGAAAGGCUGAGCGAAGGAAGAUAAACGCUUUUGAACUUUGGUGCUGGAGGAAAAUUCUGAGAGUGCCUUUGACCGCAAGAAGAUCCAACCAGUUUACCCUCCAGGAAAUAAUGCCGGCUGCUCACUGGAGGGAAGGAGAUUAGAGGCAAAGAUCAAGUAUUUUGGCCACAUCAUGAGAAGACAGGAAAGCUUGGAAAAGAUCAUGAUGCUGGGGAAAAUGGAAGGAAAAAGGAAGAGAGGCCGACCAAGGGCAAGAUGGAUGGAUGGUAUCCUUGAAGUGACUGGCUUGAACUUGAAGGAACUGGGAGCGGUGACGGCCGACAGGGAGUUCUGGCGUGGAUUGGUCCAUGAGGUCACGAAGAGUCGGAAACAACUGAGUGAAUGAAGAAGAAUAGAAAUACAGUUUUUGUUUCCACCCAGUGUCUGUCCAAAAUUCUGUCAUGGCAUCAUCUUUUCCUUUGUAUUCAGGAACCUGAUGAAUAUAAUCUGAUAGCAAUUGCAUUCUUGCUGAAUUUAAUUAACAUGCUAAUAGUCACUGCCACCAAUGAAUAUUCUUUUUAUUUAAAAGCCAAACUCUGCAGUUUAAAUAUGGUUGCUCAUGUCUUAACUAUCUUUUUCAGAUGAGAAAUCAUUUUUGUAUGUGUGUAUAUGUGCUGCUAGAGUCUAAAGAGGGAAAUGGUUCUAAGGAGGACAUGAUCAAUAGAGCUUCUGCCAGCAAGCUUGGGAACAAAAGAAAACAAAUUGUAUUAGAAAAAAGAGAUAAGCAAGUAUAUUAGGCAAAAAUCCCCGAAUUCAGAAAUAUACUAGGCUACCACUGAUCUUUUCACAGAACCAAUUGUGUAAUGCUAAAUUCUGAAUUGUAGAAACUAAUCAUGACUGUAUUCAGAGAACUUGAAAAUACAAGCAGUCGAUUGUAUCCAUUUUCAUUUCUACUAGGAACAAGUCUCUUGUAUAACUAGUGAGUUUUAACUGCCCAUUCCUCACUGCAAUACAUUUAUGGUGCAUUCAAAAAUCUUCAAAGAUUACCCCACACCAAUAUAAUUUGCAUUACUAGAGAAUUCACUUGCAACAAUCCAUUGUUGUCAAGAAAAAAAUGACUUCAUCUUAACAAUUCUUUAAGUAAUAUUAGCAAAAUAUGCUAAGGAAAAUUCUGGAGUCCUGAUUCAGCAUACCCUAGCUCUGUUAUGCCCAUAUUAAGCACAUUCUUAUUUGUCAAGAUAAUUUGUUGCGUAUUCAACUGGAUUUUGACAAAUCAACACCUUACUCUGCAUAAGACUAUCAGACCUGAACCAGACAAACAGAAGAAAAACAAUAGAAUUAUGAAAAAAAUAGACUCCAAGGCAGUGAAUUCCUUGAUUGGACAGCUCCUAACAUCAUAAAGUUCUUGAUAAUGUUUAGAUAAAAUCUCUUUUCUUGUAGUUUGAGUCUAUUGCUC